Molecule: long non-coding RNA, 1263 nt
Filed under: Oryza sativa Indica Group (long-grained rice)
Lineage: Eukaryota; Viridiplantae; Streptophyta; Magnoliopsida; Poales; Poaceae
Description: lncRNA OsMH63_09G006190
Source: RNAcentral
UCGACGACCGCGCGCGACGGCGGCGCCGGCGCCGGCAUCCCCGACGCGCUCCUCGAACGGAUCUUCCUCCGGCAGGACUCGGCCCUAAGCCUCAUCCGCGCGGCGGCCGCCUGCAGGCGGUGGCGCUGGCGCCGCGUCAUCGGCGGCAGAAUCUUCCUCCUCCGGUUCCGGGGACAACAUAGUUGGACCAGGACGGAGGCCUACACCGUCGGCAGCUACCACGUCGCCGACAACCCCAACUACCGGUGGCCGCGGCGGCGCCACGGCAGCGACGACGACGGCGCCGCCAUCGUCGACCCGUCCACCGACUUCGACAGGCGGCACUUCUCCUCCCUCGACUUCAUCCCCGACGCCAAGUCGUGGCAUGUCGUCGACGGCGUCUCCAGCGUCGUCCUUCUCGCCAAGAAGAGGAUCGGGUGGAAGCGCCGCUGCUUCCCCGACCUCAUGGUGUGCGAGCCCCUCACGCGGCGGCGCCGGGCGAUCACGCCGUUGCCGGAGAUGAGGUCCCACCGCUGCCUCGGCGCGUUCCUGAAGCACGAGCGCGACGUCCGCGUCAACAUGUCGAGGUUCACCGUGAUCUGCGCGCUCUACGAGCGGUACGACGGCGGCGUGCCCGACGACGUGGGCACCGCCAUGGGCUACUCGUUCUGCCGGUGCGAGUGGAGGCGGCGCUGGCAGUGGCGCGUCAGCAAGAUCACCGCCAAGAGCGACGUCCAUCUCCACGGCGCCGAGUCCAACAGCGCCUCCAUGCUCGUCCUCGUCGACGAUUCCAGGUUCUCGCUCGACGCCCUCCCUGCCGGCCUCCGGUGGUCGUCCUCGCCGCAGCACGACGACGAGCCACCGUUCCAUGUCGUCGAUCACGGAGGCGAACCUUACCCGCCCUUCAUUGACAGCCUCGCCGCGCGCAUCGUCGGCUUGUCCGGCGGCGAGCUCAGGGUGUUCUCGCGCUGGCGAGACGAGGACGGGUGGGAGCUCCUGAAUCGCGUCAGCUUGCCGGAGAUCACCCGCGCGCCGCCGCCACAUGCCGAUCGGAACGACGACGAUAGGUUCUCCUCCCUCUCCGGCAACGGCGUCACCGCCAUUCUUGCAUGCCGGCGGCCGUGUUGGGCAAGUGGUCCUGUGGCCGGCGCAGGGGAGGUGGGUGUUCACCGUCGAGCUCGACACCACGACGAUAGAACGCAAGCACGCCAUGGACGAACACGUAGGUGGUUUGGUAUACAAGCACGAGAUGCCAUGGCCAACUCACCUUCAAAGCUUGCGUAG